Molecule: unclassified non-coding RNA, 340 nt
Filed under: Hevea brasiliensis (rubber tree)
Lineage: Eukaryota; Viridiplantae; Streptophyta; Magnoliopsida; Malpighiales; Euphorbiaceae
Source: RNAcentral
CUUGACAAGAUUUUCAUGGCUAAUACUAGAGAGUGAAGCUAUCUCAGACAAGAACUCCCUGUCCCCUUGCUUUGAUUCUGUUGAUAGAACUUUCACAGCUACAAUUUUCCCAUCUUUUAGUCUUCCCUUAUAAACUGAGCCAAACCCACCGUCGCCAAUUUUGUUUGAUGAACGGAAGCCAUUGGUGGCAACUUCCAAUUCAGUCAACGAGAAGGCAUGAACAUUUUGAAGAAUGUGUUCACCUUGUACGCUAUCAUCUGAUGAGGAAAUUUCUGAUGAAGAAGAGAAACAUUUGAAGCAAGGGAAAGAAGACUUGAUAGAAGUAAAGAAACUGUGUUUG